UUAAUUGAAACCAAAAAGAGGUAAAUUAUUGUUAAUAAUUUUAUUGAAUUAAUUUCCAAUUAAA
RNAcentral lists this transfer RNA (64 nucleotides) under Diachasmimorpha longicaudata. Its description in RNAcentral is "tRNA-Asn". The record is from RNAcentral. Lineage: Eukaryota; Metazoa; Arthropoda; Insecta; Hymenoptera; Braconidae.